Long non-coding RNA from Papaver somniferum (opium poppy), 1384 nucleotides. RefSeq lists it as uncharacterized. The record is from RefSeq and is a predicted model, not a curated record. NCBI's taxonomy places the organism in Eukaryota, Viridiplantae, Streptophyta, Magnoliopsida, Ranunculales, Papaveraceae. The transcript has 2 exons.
CUUCCUUCUUUCUUCUUCUUCUUCUUCUUCUUCUUCUUUGGCGUCUUAGAGAAGAAAUCUCUGUUGAGAAAACUUUACCGAAAAUUAGUGAAGUCAAUCAAUCGAGUGGGAUGUUUAUGAUCUCAGAGUUUGGGUUUCGUUAGAAUCCUGAAGAGAUGUUUCUGUGAAAGUUAGAGUUUUCAAAAGAGGUUUGAAUUUAUGAGAAAUUGAUAAUUAGAAGAUGGGUUUUCAUUAUUGAGAACAAGGAAGAAGAAUUAUCAAAUGAUUCACCGAAUUGUAGUGAAGAAUCAAAGAAAUUAGCGUUUAGUUUUUGGUCUGAAGAACAAGGAAUUAAUCUUGGAGUUAGGGUUUCAGUAAUUGAAUUUGAGAAUUCGAUUAAGGGUGAAUAAAGAGAAGUUAGGAGAUGGGUUUGUUCUUAUUUGGUGGUUGAUGGAAGCUGUGGUGAUGUUUUUGAUUGAAUUAGUGAGUUGGGGUUUAUGGUUUUGGGAGCUGAUGAAGAACUUGGAUUGGAGUCUCGUGUUAAGAAGGUGAUGGUGUUACUAUUGAUGUUGGAUCGAACUUAGGAAGAACGGAAAGGGUUCUCGGUGAAUUCAUUUGGGAAUGAAGUUUUGUUGGUUAGAAUUAUGAACUGUAGAUGGUGUUGUUGAACUAGUGGAGGUGCAAAUGUUUGUUAAGUGUAGAUGGAGAGUGUAUUGCAGUUCUGGUAGUACAUGAGAUUGAUUAGGUUGUGUCUGAGAUGGGUGUUUGGGUUGUUGUAGUGAUGAAUAUUAUGGAAUUGGAAAUGAUGAAGGAUCUGAAGUUGAACCAGACUUUGUAGGUACUUUAACGGAAUUAGUGGUUUGGUAUUGUCAUUGCAUUCUAGUUAAUUGCAGUUAGAGUUGGAGAUAGUCUGGUGGUGUUGUGGGAAUUGUUGUAAGUGCGGGUGUAUGUGAAAUAAAGUUGAAGCUGAGUUGGUUUGGGUGAAUGAGAUGGAGAUUGAUACAGAUUGGGAGGAUGUGCAUUUGAGUUAUGCUCAACUAACAUUGGUGGUGCUGAGACAAUUUUUAAUUGUGAAUGGAAGUUCAAGAAUUGUUGUAGAGGAGUAAUCUGGUGGGGGUUUAGAUAUUGAAUUUAAAUGGAUAUCAUUCAUAACUCUUUGGUGGUGAUUGCAGAGUUGUAUAUUCUAAAUGCUGUGAAAGCUUGCUACUACUGCUUUUGCAGUUUCAGAGAGAGGUCAGAGUUGCGCAACGAAAGCUCCGAGAAAUUUAGUCUGUUUUUUAGUUUACUUCGGCUAUGUUUAUUAUGUUGUAUAUUAUAUUUGUAAACCAUAUGACUAUUGUAUAUGUAUCAUUUGUGAGACGUUCUUAUAUAUAUAUAUUUCUGAGCGGGGCUAGUUUUGUGUUAA